GAGUUUGAUCGUGGCUCAGAGUGAACGCUGGCGGUAGGCCUAACACAUGCAAGUCGAACGGCAGCACAGUAAGAGCUUGCUCUUACGGGUGGCGAGUGGCGGACGGGUGAGGAAUACAUCGGAAUCUACUUUUUCGUGGGGGAUAACGUAGGGAAACUUACGCUAAUACCGCAUACGACCUACGGGUGAAAGCAGGGGAUCUUCGGACCUUGCGCGAUUGAAUGAGCCGAUGUCGGAUUAGCUAGUUGGCGGGGUAAAGGCCCACCAAGGCGACGAUCCGUAGCUGGUCUGAGAGGAUGAUCAGCCACACUGGAACUGAGACACGGUCCAGACUCCUACGGGAGGCAGCAGUGGGGAAUAUUGGACAAUGGGCGCAAGCCUGAUCCAGCCAUACCGCGU
RNAcentral lists this ribosomal RNA (399 nucleotides) under uncultured microorganism. RNAcentral's name for it is "bacterial SSU rRNA". It matches the Rfam family "Bacterial small subunit ribosomal RNA", at positions 9 to 402 of the family's 1533-position model. The record is from RNAcentral.